AUGCACGCUGGCGGCGUGCUUAACACAUGCAAGUCGAACGGUGAAGCGCCUUCCUUUUUGGUGGGUGUGGAUGAGUGGCGAACGGGUGAGUAACACGUGAGUAACCUGCCCCCUUCUUCUGGAUAACCGCAUGAAAGUGUGGCUAAUACGGGAUAUUCUGGGUCUGUCGCAUGAUGGGUCUGGGAAAGAUAUUGUUUCGGUGGGGGAUGGGCUCGCGGCCUAUCAGCUUGUUGGUGGGGUGAUGGUCUACCAAGGCGGUGACGGGUAGCCGGCCUGAGAGGGUGGACGGUCACACUGGGACUGAGACACGGCCCAGACUCCUACGGGAGGCAGCAGUGGGGAAUAUUGCACAAUGGGCGCAAGCCUGAUGCAGCGACGCCGCGUGAGGGAUGGAGGCCUUCGGGUUGUGAACCUCUUUCGCCAGUGAAGCAGGCCUGCCUCGUUUGUGGGUGGGUUGACGGUAGCUGGAUAAGAAGCGCCGGCUAACUACGUG
Molecule: ribosomal RNA, 493 nt
Filed under: uncultured bacterium
Lineage: Bacteria
Description: partial 16S ribosomal RNA
Rfam family: Bacterial small subunit ribosomal RNA
Source: RNAcentral